RNAcentral lists this unclassified non-coding RNA (350 nucleotides) under uncultured fungus. RNAcentral describes it as "partial contains small subunit ribosomal RNA, internal transcribed spacer 1, and 5.8S ribosomal RNA". The stretch from base 1 to 73 matches the Rfam family "Eukaryotic small subunit ribosomal RNA", at positions 1759 to 1831 of the family's 1831-position model. The record is from RNAcentral. Lineage: Eukaryota; Fungi.
UCAAACUUGGUCAUUUAGAGGAAGUAAAAGUCGUAACAAGGUCUCCGUUGGUGAACCAGCGGAGGGAUCAUUAUAGAGUUAUUAUAAAAACUCCCAACCCUUUGUGAACCAUACCAUCGUUGCCUCGGCGCUGAGCUGCGGUCGUCCUCUAGCUACCCUGUAGUGACCUACCCUGUAGUGACCUACCCUGUAGAUGGCUACCUGGGAGCUACUUGGUUAGACCUUUUAGCGGCGUCAAGGGACCACUAAACUCUUGUUUUUACCGUGUCUCUCUGAAUGAAGAAAACAAAAAUUCGUUAAAAACUUUCAACAACGGAUCUCUUGGUUCUGGCAUCGAUGAAGAACGCAGC